This 492-nucleotide ribosomal RNA is filed under the name uncultured bacterium. RNAcentral describes it as "partial 16S ribosomal RNA". It matches the Rfam family "Bacterial small subunit ribosomal RNA", at positions 29 to 507 of the family's 1533-position model. The record is from RNAcentral.
AGUGAACGCUGGCGGUAGGCCUAACACAUGCAAGUCGAACGGCAGCACAGUAAGAGCUUGCUCUUACGGGUGGCGAGUGGCGGACGGGUGAGGAAUACAUCGGAAUCUACUUUUUCGUGGGGGAUAACGUAGGGAAACUUACUCUAAUACCGCAUACGACCUACGGGUGAAAGCAGGGGAUCUUCGGACCUUGCGCGAUUGAAUGAGCCGAUGUCGGAUUAGCUAGUUGGCGGGGUAAAUGCCCACCAAGGCGACGAUCCGUAGCUGGUCUGAGAGGAUGGUCAGCCACACUGGAACUGAGACACGGUCCAGAGUCCUACGGGAGGCAGCAGUGGGGAAUAUUGGACAAUGGGCGCAAGCCUGAUCCAGCCAUACCGAGUGGGUGACGAAGGCGUUCGGGUUGUAAAGCCCUUUUGUUGGGAAAGAAAAGCAGCAGGUUAAUACGCCGCUGUUCUGACGGUAACCAAAGAAUAAGCACCGGCUAACUUCGUG